GAGGGCUAUGGUCCUCUUUCUUCUGAUUUUCUCUUCAGUGCGUUGCUUCAUGGUCAGUUCGUGAGUUAUAAGGGAUCCAAACAGCUUCUCCAAUGAUAGAAUAUUCAAAUCUUUGGCCUCUUGGAUUGCAGUGACUUUUGCCUCCCAUGAUCUUGGUAAGAAUCUGAGCACUUUUCUCACAAUAUCACUAUUAGAAUAAUAUUUGUCAAGACUUUUUAAACUAUUUAUGAUGUCAGUG
RNAcentral lists this long non-coding RNA (238 nucleotides) under Elaeis guineensis (African oil palm). RNAcentral describes it as "long non-coding RNA (EGUI_LNC036744)". Lineage: Eukaryota; Viridiplantae; Streptophyta; Magnoliopsida; Arecales; Arecaceae. The record is from RNAcentral.